Ochotona curzoniae (black-lipped pika) is the source of this 105-nucleotide small nuclear RNA. The record is from RefSeq and is a predicted model, not a curated record. Lineage: Eukaryota; Metazoa; Chordata; Mammalia; Lagomorpha; Ochotonidae.
GUGCUUGCUUCAGUAACACAUAUACUAAAAUCGGAAAAAAUUAAGAGAUUAUCAGGGCCCCUGCGCAAGGAUGACAUGCAAAUUUGUGAAGUGUUCCAUUUUUUU